RNAcentral lists this ribosomal RNA (253 nucleotides) under bacterium. RNAcentral's name for it is "partial 16S ribosomal RNA". It matches the Rfam family "Bacterial small subunit ribosomal RNA", at positions 524 to 776 of the family's 1533-position model. RNAcentral also lists the same sequence under 2 other names. The record is from RNAcentral.
UACGUAGGUGGCAAGCGUUGUCCGGAUUUACUGGGCGUAAAGGGAGCGUAGGCGGACACUUAAGUGGGAUGUGAAAUCCCCGGGCUUAACCCGGGAGCUGCAUUCCAAACUGGGUGUCUAGAGUGCAGGAGAGGAAAGUGGAAUUCCUAGUGUAGCGGUGAAAUGCGUAGAGAUUAGGAAGAACACCAGUGGCGAAGGCGACUUUCUGGACUGUAACUGACGCUGAGGCUCGAAAGCGUGGGGAGCAAACAGG